Molecule: ribosomal RNA, 119 nt
Organism: Oncorhynchus kisutch (coho salmon)
Lineage: Eukaryota; Metazoa; Chordata; Actinopteri; Salmoniformes; Salmonidae
Source: Ensembl
GCUUACGACUACACCUGCCUGAGUACCCCUGAUCUCGUAUGAUCUCGGAAGCUAAGUAGGGUCGGGCCUGUUUAGUACUUGGAUGGGUGACCGCCUGGGAAUACCAGGUGCUGUAAGCU